ACCCGCUGAACUUAAGCAUAUCAAUAAGCGGAGGAAAAGAAACCAACAGGGAUUGCCCUAGUAACGGCGAGUGAAGCGGCAACAGCUCAAAUUUGAAAUCUGGCGUCUUUGGCGUCCGAGUUGUAAUUUGCAGAGGGCGCUUUGGCAUUGGCAGCGGUCCAAGUUCCUUGGAACAGGACGUCACAGAGGGUGAGAAUCCCGUACGUGGUCGCUAGCCUUUACCGUGUAAAGCCCCUUCGACGAGUCGAGUUGUUUGGGAAUGCAGCUCUAAAUGGGAGGUAAAUUUCUUCUAAAGCUAAAUACUGGCCAGAGACCGAUAGCGCACAAGUAGAGUGAUCGAAAGAUGAAAAGCACUUUGGAAAGAGAGUUAAAAAGCACGUGAAAUUGUUGAAAGGGAAGCGCUUGCAGCCAGACUUGCCUGUAGUUGCUCAUCCGGGUUUUUACCCGGUGCACUCUUCUAUAGGCAGGCCAGCAUCAGUUUGGGCGGUUGGAUAAAGGUCUCUGUCAUGUACCUCUCUUCGGGGAGAACUUAUAGGGGAGACGACAUGCAACCAGCCCGGACUGAGGUCCGCGCAUCUGCUAGGAUGCCGGCGUAAUGGCUGU
This 603-nucleotide ribosomal RNA is filed under the name uncultured fungus. Its description in RNAcentral is "eukaryotic LSU rRNA". It matches the Rfam family "Eukaryotic large subunit ribosomal RNA", at positions 23 to 641 of the family's 3401-position model. The record is from RNAcentral. Lineage: Eukaryota; Fungi.